This 735-nucleotide ribosomal RNA is filed under the name uncultured Pseudomonadota bacterium. RNAcentral describes it as "bacterial SSU rRNA". It matches the Rfam family "Bacterial small subunit ribosomal RNA", at positions 76 to 785 of the family's 1533-position model. Lineage: Bacteria; Pseudomonadati; Pseudomonadota. The record is from RNAcentral.
UCCUUCGGGAGCUGAGUAAAGUGGCGGACGGGUGCGUAACACGUAGGCAAUCUGCCCUCGGGUGGGGGAUAACCUCUCGAAAGGGAGGCUAAUACCGCAUGAGACUACCAGUCACUCCGGUGGCAGUGGUCAAAGCUGGCCUCUCCAUGGAAGCUAGCGCCUGAGGAUGAGCCUGCGGCCCAUCAGUUUGUUGGUAGGGUAACGGCCUACCAAGGCGAAGACGGGUAGCUGGUCUAAGAGGAUGAUCAGCCACACUGGCACUGAAACACGGGCCAGACUCCUACGGGAGGCAGCAGUGGGGAAUCUUGGACAAUGGGCGAAAGCCUGAUCCAGCGACGCCGCGUGGGUGAUGAAGGCCUUCGGGUUGUAAAGCCCUGUGGGGAGGAAAGAAAAAGGUCCGUUCGAAUAGGGCGGGCCCUUGACGGUACCUCUUCAGCAAGCGCCGGCCAACUCUGUGCCAGCAGCCGCGGUAAGACAGAGGGCGCGAACGUUGCUCGGAAUUACUGGGCGUAAAGCGCGUGUAGGCGGAUAGGCAAGUCAGGUGUGAAAGCCCUGGGCUCAACCCAGGAACAGCACCUGAAACUGCUUGUCUAGAGUAGUGGAGAGGGAAGUGGAAUUCCUGGUGUAGAGGUGAAAUUCGUAGAUAUCAGGAGGAACACCGGUGGCGAAGGCGGCUUCCUGGACACUUACUGACGCUGAGACGCGAAAGCGUGGGGAGCAAACAGGAUUAGAUAC